This 1241-nucleotide ribosomal RNA is filed under the name iron-reducing bacterium enrichment culture clone FeC_1_E6. RNAcentral's name for it is "bacterial SSU rRNA". It matches the Rfam family "Bacterial small subunit ribosomal RNA", at positions 241 to 1503 of the family's 1533-position model. The record is from RNAcentral.
CAGGAUGGGGUGAGAGGUUAAAGGCUCCCACCAGGGCGACGAUGCGAGCGACCUGAGAGGGGAUCGGCCAAUGGAACGGAGAACCGUUCAGACCCUACGGAGGCAGCAGUGGGGGAAUAUUGCACAUGGGCGAAAGGCUGAUGCAGGCAUCGCCGCGUGGAGUGAUGAAGCUUCCGGGUUGUAAAGCUCUGUCUUCAGGGACGAUAAUGACGGUACCUUGAGGAGGAAGCCACGGCUAACUACGUGGCCAGCAGCCGCGGUAAUACGUAGGUGGCAAGCGUUGUCCGGAUUUACUGGGCGGUAAAGGAUGCGUAGGCGGAUUUUUAAGUGGGAUGUGAAAUACCCGAGCUCAACUUGGGUGCUGCAUUCCAAACUGGAAGUCUAGAGUGCGGGAGAGGAGAGUGGAAUUCCUAGUGUAGCGGUGAAAUGCGUAGAGAUUAGGAAGAACACCAGUGGCGAAGGCGACUCUCUGGACCGUAACUGACGCUGAGGCAUGAAAGCGUGGGGAGCAAACAGGAUUAGAUACCCUGGUAGUCCACGCCGUAAACGAUGGGUACUAGGUGUGGGAGGUAUCGACCCCUUCCGUGCCGCCGUUAACACAAUAAGUACCCCGCCUGGGGAGUACGGUCGCAAGAUUAAAACUCAAAGGAAUUGACGGGGGCCCGCACAAGCAGCGGAGCAUGUGGUUUAAUUCGAAGCAACGCGAAGAACCUUACCUAGACUUGACAUCCCCUGCAUAACCCAGAGAUGGGCGAAGUCCUUCGGGACAGGGUGACAGGUGGUGCAUGGUUGUCGUCAGCUCGUGUCGUGAGAUGUUGGGUUAAGUCCCGCAACGAGCGCAACCCUUAUCAUUAGUUGCUACCAUUUAGUUGAGCACUCUAGUGAGACUGCCCGGGUUAACCGGGAGGAAGGUGGGGAUGACGUCAAAUCAUCAUGCCCCUUAUGUCUAGGGCUACACACGUGCUACAAUGGUGAGUACAAAGAGAUGCAAGAUCGCAAGGUGGAGCCAAACUCAAAAACUCAUCCCAGUUCGGAUUGUAGGCUGCAACUCGCCUACAUGAAGCCGGAGUUGCUAGUAAUCGCGGAUCAGCAUGUCGCGGUGAAUACGUUCCCGGGCCUUGUACACACCGCCCGUCACACCAUGGGAGUGGGUUUUACCAGAAGUAGGUAGUCUAACCGCAAGGAGGACGCUUACCACGGUAGUAUUCAUGACUGGGGUGAAGUCGUAACAAGGUAGCCGU